UCGGUGCUCAAGCCGGACAUCCGCGCCUAUCUCGAAGCCGAGAAUGCCUACGCCGACACGGUGAUGGGCCACACCGAACCGUUGCAGAAGAAGCUGGUCGCGGAAAUGCGCGGCCGCAUCAAAGAAGACGAUUCCAGCGUUCCCUCGCCCGACGGGCCGUUCGCCUACUUCCAGAAAUACAAUGAAGGCGGUCAGCACGAGCAGAUCGGCCGAACCGCGCGCGAUGGCAGCGGCGAAGCCCGUUUCAUCAUCGACGGCGAUGAACUCGCCAAGCAGACCGAAUAUUUCCGGUUCG
RNAcentral lists this unclassified non-coding RNA (295 nucleotides) under Hevea brasiliensis (rubber tree). The record is from RNAcentral. Lineage: Eukaryota; Viridiplantae; Streptophyta; Magnoliopsida; Malpighiales; Euphorbiaceae.